RNAcentral lists this ribosomal RNA (514 nucleotides) under uncultured bacterium. RNAcentral's name for it is "partial 16S ribosomal RNA". It matches the Rfam family "Bacterial small subunit ribosomal RNA", at positions 28 to 523 of the family's 1533-position model. The record is from RNAcentral.
GAUGAACGCUGGCGGCGUGCCUAAUACAUGCAAGUCGAGCGAACAGAUGAGAAGCUUGCUUCUCUGAUGUUAGCGGCGGACGGGUGAGUAACACGUGGGUAACCUACCUAUAAGACUGGGAUAACUCCGGGAAACCGGGGCUGAUACCGGAUAAUAUUUUGAACCGCAUGGUUCGAUAGUGAAAGACGGUUUCGGCUGUCACUUAUAGAUGGACCCGCGCCGUAUUAGCUAGUUGGUAAGGUAACGGCUUACCAAGGCGACGAUACGUAGCCGACCUGAGAGGGUGAUCGGCAAAACUGGAACUGAGACACGGUCCAGACUCCUACGGGAGGCAGCAGUAGGGAAUCUUCCGCAAUGGGCGAAAGCCUGACGGAGCAACGCCGCGUGAGUGAUGAAGGUCUUCGGAUCGUAAAACUCUGUUGUUAGGGAAGAACAAAUUUGUUAGUAACUGAACAAGUCUUGACGGUACCUAACCAGAAAGCCACGGCUAACUACGUGCCAGCCGCCGCAGUAA